AUGAACGCUGGCGGCGUGUUUAACACAUGCAAGUCGAACGGAAAGGCUCCUGCUUGCAGGGGUACUCGAGUGGCGAACGGGUGAGUAACACGUGGGUGAUCUGCCCUGCACUUCGGGAUAAGCCUGGGAAACUGGGUCUAAUACCGGAUAGGACCACAUUUUGGAUGGUGUGGUGGAAAGUUUUUCGGUGUGGGAUGAGCUCGCGGCCUAUCAGCUUGUUGGUGGGGUAAUGGCCUACCAAGGCGUCGACGGGUAGCCGGCCUGAGAGGGUGUACGGCCACAUUGGGACUGAGAUACGGCCCAGACUCCUACGGGAGGCAGCAGUGGGGAAUAUUGCACAAUGGGCGCAAGCCUGAUGCAGCGACGCCGCGUGGGGGAUGACGGCCUUCGGGUUGUAAACUCCUUUCGCUAGGGACGAAGCGCAAGUGACGGUACCUGGAGAAGAAGCACCGGCUAACUACGUG
This 464-nucleotide ribosomal RNA is filed under the name uncultured bacterium. Its description in RNAcentral is "partial 16S ribosomal RNA". It matches the Rfam family "Bacterial small subunit ribosomal RNA", at positions 29 to 507 of the family's 1533-position model. The record is from RNAcentral.